UAACGCGUGAGGAACCUGCCUCAAAGAGGGGGACAACAGUUGGAAACGACUGCUAAUACCGCAUAAGCCCACGGGUCGGCAUCGACCAGAGGGAAAAGGAGCAAUCCGCUUUGAGAUGGCCUCGCGUCCGAUUAGCUAGUUGGUGAGGUAAUGGCCCACCAAGGCGACGAUCGGUAGCCGGACUGAGGGGUUGAACGGCCACAUUGGGACUGAGACACGGCCCAGACUCCUACGGGAGGCAGCAGUGGGGAAUAUUGCACAAUGGGGGAAACCCUGAUGCAGCGACGCCGCGUGGAGGAAGAAGGUCUUCGGAUUGUAAACUCCUGUUGUUGAGGAAGAUAAUGACGGUACUCAACAAGGAAGUGACGGCUAACUACGUGCCAGCAGCCGCGGUAAAACGUAGGUCACAAGCGUUGUCCGGAAUUACUGGGUGUAAAGGGAGCGCAGGCGGGAAGACAAGUUGGAAGUGAAAUCUAUGGGCUCAACCCAUAAACUGCUUUCAAAACUGUUUUUCUUGAGUAGUGCAGAGGUAGGCGGAAUUCCCGGUGUAGCGGUGGAAUGCGUAGACAUCGGGAGGAACACCAGUGGCGAAGGCGGCCUACUGGGCACCAACUGACGCUGAGGCUCGAAAGUGUGGGUAGCAAACAGGAUUAGAUACCCUGGUAGUCCACACCGUAAACGAUGAUUACUAGGUGU
This 696-nucleotide ribosomal RNA is filed under the name uncultured bacterium. RNAcentral describes it as "bacterial SSU rRNA". It matches the Rfam family "Bacterial small subunit ribosomal RNA", at positions 111 to 823 of the family's 1533-position model. The record is from RNAcentral.